UCCCAAGAUCCUUGAAAGCCUUGAAAAACAGCCAAAAGACACAAGGUGAAAUAAUGCAACCCAUUGCAGUGCCAAUUAGUUGGCUCACAAACAUGGACCGUGGGGAAGAAAGGGUUAGAUAACCAGUCUUGAAAUCUUGAGAGAGGUCGGAGGCUGUGGAGACGAUAUUCAUCAUGACUCCACAGGCUGCUAGUCCUGCAAGAACUCCACCAUGAGAGGCACCAGCCCAUGCUCCAAUUGCAAAAAUUGCAAGCGUCCCAUAGGAGUAAGCAAGGGACCAAUCAGUGAGGCCACAGCCAUAAGCAUUACUGAAUGCAAGGGCUGGGGCAAAGAUGUAGAUAACCAAUAUGUAAUACCAUUUUAGUUCGGGAAAUAUACGCGGAACGGUGGCUGUGGAGAUGGCAGCAAUUGCGACAUAGCCUGCAACAGCAAACCAUGUUGGAAUUUGAUCUAUGAGAAAGAGUUGGGUGCGACGUUGCUCAUCAUAGGAGAUCCUAGAUGUCUUGGGAGAGGAACGGUCAGCAAUAGGCAGAGCACCAGUUGCAUCUCUCCCACGAAGUUGAAAAAACAAUGCAGCGAGUGUUCUGCUUAGAACCUUGAAGUUGUAUAGACCGUCACCCAAGAUCAAGGCAGUGGCAAUAAAUACCUGUGUUCAGUGCAUAAGCAUUGGUAUGAAAGAAAAGGCUUCAAGAAAAUGUUAAAAAUCAUGUAAUUGGCAUUCUUGUCACCUUAACCUUGUUAGAAAACUUACCUUGUAACCUUGGAGACCAUGUAAGCUGCCUGGUUUGAGGUCUGCUGGAUACCAGUCACCCCUUUUUGUAUCUAUGAGAGGCCACAUGAGACCCCAGGAAAGAAUUCCUCCUAGAAAAACUGAUAUGUUUAUGAUGUAGGGGCAAAUCAUUCCAACUCCAACAUAUGUUGCUGAGAAAUCAAAGAAAAAUCUGUACAUGUAACAAGAACAUUAUUAGUCAAAGAUACCACAACGAAUUUGAAACAGAAUGCCAUAAUAAAUGGAACUACAUUCAACAAGAAGAGAGGAUUUUGGAAGGUUGAGAAAUGCUUUUACUUUUUUCAUGUGCUUUAAGACCAAGUGAGGGGAACUCAGCUAAUCCACAACCAUCUCCUGCAGUGUAGAACCAUUGAAAGAAACCCCACAAGAAGCUGAAUGAGAAGAACUUGCCCAACACUCUCACUUGUUUCCUGUAGCAGUAGAAUAACAAAGUUCAAUACUCUUACAUGUCAAAUGAUCAUCCAACUAUAAGUGCAUGAGGUCUGAUAAUGCCUUACUUUGCUAGCUUGGCUCCUGCAGGAGUGUGGAAGCUGUUGAUGAGAUGAGCAGUUGCAGUGCCACUUGGAUAUGUCAAUUUGAAGUCUAUAAUCAUGACCUGGAAAUAACAAGGGAAACAAUGAGGAUUAAUUUUUGGAAAAUCUAUACAUUCGGCAAAAAUGUAAAAUGCAGAGAGAAGUUCUCUAUUUCCUAUACGAAAUUGAAUGGCGAUGUAGGUUGUAAAGUCUACCUUUCAAAGAGGCACCGCCGAAAAGAGCCCAAGAAAGCUAACAACAAACAAGAAGCCAAUCAUCCAAGACAGAGAUGGAUUUUUAAAGGCAUCACCAUCUUCAGUUAAUUGUUUGGCCACGGUUUCACUCAUUCCAAACAGAUAACUCCCAAAGCCUCCUAUUAUAAGGAAACAAGGAAAAAAUUAUAGAAUGGAAACCAUUAGUACAAAAAUCAACAAGUUUAAUAUCAUCAUAAGCAUAAUCACAAAUUAACCGUUUCAUUACAAUAAUUAAUUCAGUUUCGAAACAAGUUUGGCAAGUAUUCAGGCUUUUCUUGACUAUUUGGAUAAGUUAGAAAUAUAAUGUAUUCAUCUUGACAUUAUGUUAAUGAUUCACAGUUAAAGAAAAGGUUUGAUUAAUAACUCAAGCUCACAACUAGCAUUCUAGAAACAGAUAUUAUUCACAUUUUCCUUUCUUUUACUAAUGGAGAAGACUUCUUUUUCCACAAAUCAGAAUAUUGUUAUAAGACUUCCUGACAUAAAUCUGAACUUAGUAAGUCAUCCAUAUCCAGCGCAUAUGAAUUGAAUUGUCAAAAAAGUAUCUGUCAAGUGACAUACCAGCUGCACCCCUAACAUUAUCACACUCCAGGAGACAGAGAUAGAUUUGUUCAUGUCUCUAAUGGUAAGUUCAAGUGUUGAUUAGUUUAGUAAAACUUCACAAGUGGUAGUCAUAAAGCCUCAAUUUUGAUUUGUCUCUCAAAGACUUUAGGCAGUAAGAGAUUCUUUGUCUUCAAGGAUCAUGCAAAUCUACUCACAUCUGAGAUAAAAGGGAUCCAGAGAGAGAAAAAUGGUUGCCUUAUCAUGUAAUCUAGCAAUUAGAAGAUGGAAAUCUUGACAUUGAAUUUUAGUAACUACUGUAAGUUUGCAAUCUUUAAGAACAGAAACAAAACCAAAUGCACAGAAAUAUUAAUAUCUUGAUAAAAGAAACCUAGAUAUCUCCUCAACUUCGAAAGAAAACAGAAAAAAAAAUUGAAUUUCAAAAUAAUUAAGAGAGAUGAAAUGAAAAUUAAUGGCAGUAAACAGUACGGAAAGUAUACCACUAAAGGCAAUGCCAGAGGAGGCAACCACGCAAGUCUGUAUUACAGUGUUCUCUUGCCUCGUAAAGGGUUGCUUCACAAGGCCAGACUUUUCAAGAAACUUUUCCAGGUCUUGAUAAAAAAGAAGCCCAGAAGGCCAGCAGAGACAUUGAGGGAAGGUAUGAUACCAGUUGUAAGAUUGAGCUUCAUUACUAUGACGCAGAACAAAACGCUCAGCACGAAGCUCAGCACAAAGGCCCUCAGUGUCAGCUGAUUCCUCCAUGAUGGCACUUCUUGGAUCUCAAAUAUUCUUUCCACUUACAACUCUUCUUCUUGUUCCUCUUUCUUGUCCUUCUUUCUGUGACCAUGAUCAUCCUCCAAAUUAUAACCAUUCUCUACCUUGGUAUCGUCUCUUUCAUUACGUUCCAUUUUAUUUUCUUAAAUAAGUGGUUGUGAUUAUUGCUCAACACAUCACAGGCGAAUUGAAGACGAUGAAUAUGAGAAGGAGUUAAAACGGGUUGCUGUGGUGAGUUUUAAAUUUUAAUCUGUCUGGUUUUUUUUUUUUUUUUUUAAGAUUUAAUUUUAAAUUAAUUUCAUUUAAUAUUUUUGAAUUGUUUUGAAAUGUUAAAAUUAAAAAUAAAUUUUAAAAUAUAAAAAAUAUAUUAUUUUAAUAUUUUUUUUGAAUGAAGUGUAUUUUGAAAAAUAAUUAAUAUUAUAUUUUUAGACACCUUUAAAAUAAGAUUUUAAUGACAUGUGUAUGAGUUGGUGUGUGUGUGCCUAUAUUAUUUUUUAUUUUUUGGUUGAAAAUAAAAAAGUUUAAUUUCAAAUAAAAAAAUAAACUUCUAAAAAGGAAUGUUUUAAGUAAGUUACCGAAUGGCCACUGAAUGUAGAAGACGAGAAGUCAAUAGUCAAUUUCCAAAAAUUAAAAAAAAAAAAAAGAUGAUCAUUACACUUCCGACAUAUUUGUUACAUACAGCUUUUAUCGUCUUCCUCGACGCAUCUGAUAUUUUUUCCAUCUUUUUUCUUUUCUCGUGUUGGAUAACUAAGUCUGGCAUGGUUUUAUUGUGAGACUGAUAACAACUAGAAGGCCAUUCCAAUGCCACAUUGGACCACCUGAUAUGAUCAUAGCUAGCAAAAUGAGCAAACCUGAUACCAAAUAUAGCAACUGAUCAUAACAGCUCACAAAGGGUACUGUGAUUUUCACUUUUCACAUUGCAUGAUGCAUCUGUUCUACUAUCUUCUUCAAACUAGACAAGAAAAAAAACUACAUGCAUAUAUAAGUGAAUGGACAUUUGAUUUUCUUCUCCAUAAAUGAUUAUAGAGAAAAUAGUUGUUGGCUCCACGAAAGAGCAGGUGAUUGAUUUUCAACUUCGACUUUAUGACCCUAAGAACGCAUCGACCUUAGCAUUUGUUCCCCUUGACAAAAACUUCAUACAAAUGGGAGGUUUUACUCCUACUAGAGCAAGUAUCGCACUAGGCAAAGUCCAUAUCCCAUCCCCGCAAAUCAAACCAGAAGCCACUGCUGGCCCAAAAGCAUCUGCCUUUGCCUUGUCAAUCUUUUCCCAGAUAAAUAGAAUCAAGCUUCCCACACACAUGUCGAUGGCAAAGUAUGAGCCAAUAUAGAAAGGUAUAGCCAUCGCCAUUGGAUUGGGAAUGAACCUAGCCCAUUUCUUACCCAAUGCAUCCUUCAUUAAAUUUAUGAGAAUAGCUGCACUGAAGAACCCAUAGCAAAGAUAGAGGCAAUUCUUUGGUAGAGACGAGAAUCCGUCUACCCCCAAUAUAGCCAUGUUUCGAAAUACAGUAGCAUUAGGAGCAGGGUAUUGACUUCCAGGAGUCCCAAGAUCCUUGAAGGCCUUGAAAAACAGCCAAAAGACACAAGGUGAAAUAACGCAACCCAUUGCAGUGCCAAUUAGUUGGCUCACAAACAUGGACCGUGGUGAAGAAAGGGUUAGAUAACCAGUCUUGAAAUCUUGAGAGAGGUCGGAGGCUGUGGAGACGAUAUUCAUCAUGACUCCACAGGCCGCUAGUCCUGCAAGAACUCCACCAUGAGAGGCACCAGCCCAUGCUCCAAUUACAAAAAUUGCGAGCUUCCCAUAGGUGGAAGCAAGGGACCAGUCA
This 4690-nucleotide long non-coding RNA is filed under the name Populus trichocarpa (black cottonwood). RNAcentral's name for it is "long non-coding RNA (PTRI_LNC003929)". Lineage: Eukaryota; Viridiplantae; Streptophyta; Magnoliopsida; Malpighiales; Salicaceae. The record is from RNAcentral.